This 429-nucleotide ribosomal RNA is filed under the name Chloroflexota bacterium. RNAcentral's name for it is "Chloroflexi bacterium partial 16S ribosomal RNA". It matches the Rfam family "Bacterial small subunit ribosomal RNA", at positions 355 to 776 of the family's 1533-position model. The record is from RNAcentral. Lineage: Bacteria; Bacillati; Chloroflexota.
UGGGGAAUAUUGCACAAUGGGCGCAAGCCUGAUGCAGCCAUGCCGCGUGUAUGAAGAAGGCCUUCGGGUUGUAAAGUACUUUCAGUCGGGAGGAAGGUGUCAAGGUUAAUAACCUUGGCAAUUGACGUUACCGACAGAAGAAGCACCGGCUAACUCCGUGCCAGCAGCCGCGGUAAUACGGAGGGUGCAAGCGUUAAUCGGAAUUACUGGGCGUAAAGCGCACGCAGGCGGUUGAUUGAGUCAGAUGUGAAAUCCCCGGGCUUAACCCGGGAAUUGCAUCUGAUACUGGUCAGCUAGAGUCUUGUAGAGGGGGGUAGAAUUCCAUGUGUAGCGGUGAAAUGCGUAGAGAUGUGGAGGAAUACCGGUGGCGAAGGCGGCCCCCUGGACGAAGACUGACGCUCAGGUGCGAAAGAGUGGGGAGCAAACAGG